RNAcentral lists this ribosomal RNA (489 nucleotides) under uncultured bacterium. RNAcentral's name for it is "partial 16S ribosomal RNA". It matches the Rfam family "Bacterial small subunit ribosomal RNA", at positions 28 to 506 of the family's 1533-position model. The record is from RNAcentral.
GAUGAACGCUAGCGGCAGGCCUAAUACAUGCAAGUCGAACGGGAUCCAGAUCAAAGCUUGCUUUGGUUUGGUGAGAGUGGCGUACGGGUGCGUAACGCGUGAGCAACCUACCCUUAUCAGGGGGAUAGCCCGGCGAAAGUCGGAUUAAUACCGCAUGACAUCAUUGAGAGGCAUCUUUCGAUGAUCAAAGAUUUAUCGGACAAGGAUGGGCUCGCGUGACAUUAGCUAGUUGGUAAGGUAACGGCUUACCAAGGCUACGAUGUCUAGGGGCUCUGAGAGGAGAAUCCCCCACACUGGUACUGAGACACGGACCAGACUCCUACGGGAGGCAGCAGUAAGGAAUAUUGGUCAAUGGACGGAAGUCUGAACCAGCCAUGCCGCGUGCAGGAAGACGGCCCUAUGGGUUGUAAACUGCUUUUAUACGGGAACAAACGUCGGUACGUGUACCGGUCUGAGUGUACCGUAAGAAUAAGGAUCGGCUAACUCCGU